AAGGUAGCGAAAUUCCUUGUCGGGUAAGUUCCGACCUGCACGAAUGGCGUAACGACUUCCCCGCUGUCUCCAACAUAGACUCAGUGAAAUUGAAUUCCCCGUGAAGAUGCGGGGUUCCUGCGGUCAGACGGAAAGACCCCGUGCACCUUUACUAUAGCUUCACACUGGCAUUCGCCAAGGCAUGUGUAGGAUAGGUGGUAGGCUUUGAAACUCUCACGCCAGUGGGGGUGGAGCCAUCCUUGAAAUACCACCCUUAUCUUCGUGGAUGUCUAACUGCGGUCCGUUAUCCGGAUCCAGGACAGUGUGUGGUGGGUAGUUUGACUGGGGUGGUCGCCUCCAAAAGAGUAUCGGAGGCUUCUAAAGGUACCCUCAGAACGGUUGGUAAUCGUUCGUAGAGUAUAAUGGCAUAAGGGUGCUUGACUGAGAGACAUACAAGUCGACCAGGUACGAAAGUAGAGCAUAGUGAUCCGGUGGUUCCGCAUGGAAGGGCCAUCGCUCAAAGGAUAAAAGGUACUCCGGGGAUAACAGGCUGAUACCGCCCAAGAGUUCAUAUCGACGGCGGUGUUUGGCACCUCGAUGUCGGCUCAUCACAUCCU
Molecule: ribosomal RNA, 596 nt
Filed under: Extubocellulus spinifer
Lineage: Eukaryota; Bacillariophyta; Thalassiosirophyceae; Cymatosirales; Cymatosiraceae
Description: partial Bacterial large subunit ribosomal RNA
Rfam family: Bacterial large subunit ribosomal RNA
Source: RNAcentral